Molecule: RNA transcript, 3161 nt
Organism: Scatophagus argus
Lineage: Eukaryota; Metazoa; Chordata; Actinopteri; Scatophagidae
Gene name: fibroblast growth factor 6-like
Exons: 4
Source: RefSeq, a predicted model, not a curated record
UAUUUGAAUAUAUGUGCAUUUUAACCAUACUCUUCAUUUUAGGUGAGCAUUUUGUGGCGUAAAAUGUCCACAAAUAUCUAUGCAGUUUGGUGAGCAGACACUGAAGACUGUACAGGAGCGGUUGAAAUGAACUUGGAAAUGGUGCCAUCCUUUGGAAAUCUUUGGGAACUGAUGUGUGCAAGUGCGCAACUGCACUGGCCUCACUGACGCAUGCACAUGCUGCUGGUGGCAUUAUCUGUUACAUGGAAAAGACGACAGGCUUUCGUGCUGCAGGGAAUGGCAUGCUGACAAUGUGUGCCAUUUCAUGACAGGCCUCUCCGGUUUGCUUCUCAUAGUUCUCACGAAUGCACCGCGUGAAAUGCAAAGGUUAUGGUGUACUUCUAAAAAUGUGAUACACCGGGCCUCAGCUGCCGAACCGAGUCGUGGAGCUGAGGGGCGGUCUGUGUUUUGCUCAAGGACACGUCAGCAGGGCGGAUGCUGGCUGACACUGAGGUCUUGAACCCUGAUCUUUGCGGCUGACGGGCGAUGGGGGCCAUGCCGGCUCUCUUGUCCAUGCUGAUGUGUCAUAUCGGGCCCAGAAAAACACAGAUUUUGCUGGGGAAAGUUCUUGAACGGCACAGUAGAAGAAGUGGGACCACGAGGGCCCUGUCAUUGCUCUCCGGUGACAAGUGGGCCUGUUUUUACACCUUCCUUCUAAAUAAGGAAGCGGCCUGACAGACAUAUGACCACCGACCCAAUUUGGGAGCAGCCCGAGUGCCCCAUCGCGUCCCACGGCCGCUGAACGCCACCAAUAAGCUUCCUCCCCUUCCAGUCCAACAGUGACAGUAGGCUAUUCCUCUCAACUCGCAGCAGAGUUGGUAUUUUUCCUGCUGUCAGCAGCCUCUCUACCCUUGUAUUGUCCCAGCGGUGAAGUCAGCAUGAUGUCAUCUUGGGAUGCGAUAGCCCUGGCAAGGUUGAAACAGGGUUUUUGGUGAGUGGUGGAGGAUUUAUUCUGAACUCUUAACGAGAGUGAGACAGAGAGUUGCAAGAGAGAGAGAAAGGGAGAGUGUGUGUGUGAGAGAGAGAGGCGCGGAGGAGCUGCAAAACAUGGUAAUCACCACCACCAACAUCACCAUCACCAUCACCUCCAGCUCUGCCGCGCACUCUCCCGUCUCCUCUCCUCCUCUGCACCGGGGCUUGCGUUUCAUGCCCAAAGCCCUGAUCUGCGCUCCAAAAAUAACCCUCAGCCAGCAUGCCGAAGGAAGCAAAACAAGAAGAGCGGUAUUUUUAGGGUCAUUAAUUUUGACCACGUGGCCCGAAGGUAAACCGGAUGGCCGUUGCGCAAAGGCUCCUCGUCAGUAUGUCCUGCGAGGCCGGCACGCCGCACUGGACGCUGACCGCGGUGGUUCUCCUGGGCUUUCUGCUGGGGAUCGUGUCAGCGUACCCUUUACCGAGCAGCAGGACAAAUGCAACUUUACUGGAGAAAAGAUGGGAGACCCUCUUCUCCCGCUCUGUACUGGGGAUCUCCGGGGAGAAACCGGAGCUGAACUGGGAGAGUGACUAUCUGCUGGGCAUCAAGAGAGUGCGGAGGCUCUACUGCAACGUGGGCAUCGGGUUUCACCUUCAGAUCCUCCCCGACGGCAGGAUAAACGGUGUACAUAAUGAAAACCAGUACAGUCUAAUAGAGAUCUCUACGGUGCAGAGAGGAGUGGUGAGCCUCUAUGGGGUGAAGAGUGAGCUGUUUGUCGCAAUGAACAGCCGUGGAAGGUUAUACGGAACGACAGUCUUCCACGAUGAGUGCAAGUUCAAGGAGAGCUUGCUCCCAAACAACUACAACGCCUAUGAGUCCCUGGUUUACAGAGGCUCCUACAUAGCACUGAGCAAGCAUGGCCGCGUGAAGAGGGGCAACAAGGCCACCACUGCCAUGACUGUAACACACUUCCUACCCCGAAUAUGAUGAGCAAAAACUGGCAAUAACAAACUUAUUUGCACAUGUGGAUUAUUUCCCAGACAGUUUUCCAUUGUGGAGACAAGGAGGAGGGGGGAGGACAGAGAGCAAGCAAAGCUGAAGGUAGCAAUGAUGUACAGAGGACUUACAUGGGACUCUGCAUGUGGCACUGGUUUGUUUGUUUGACUUGGCGGGGAUGUGGACAAUGUGGGGUAGAAUAGCUGAGCAUCAGACAAGUGGGCCCCUCGUCUGUUCAUGUCAGACUGGACAGUCAGUGCAGGGCCCUGGGAUUCCUGUCCCUCUCAUCUGAGCCAUUUUUGUACCAAGGUCAAAGAUGCAGGCUUUGUGUGCUUUGAGUUAAUGAUGCCAGCAUGUGUUCUGGUCCAUCUGAAAGACUUUUACCUUGUUGUUGUACGUAGCUCUGCACCUGUUAGGUUCUCUAGUAAUGUGCAAUGAAGAUAUUAAGAUUCUGCACGUUUUCUCACACUUCUGAGCAGAGUCUAUUUAAUGCUGAAAUGAGGUUUGACUGAGCUCGAUUCAUAACGUUUUUGUUUUCAUUUACUACAUUUUGGUACUUGACCUGCAAUAUUCUGUAAGUAGCAAACCACCAGGCAGGCCAGUUUGGUGAAAUAUAAUUAAAAGAAAGUAGCAAGGCCCUUAUAUGUUGUCAAAUUUUACCUCAUGCCCUUCCUGACAUUACUAUGACGCACUGACAACAUGUCUGUGAGCAAUGGUUUACGUACCCUUUAAGCUCCAGCCUAUGUCUAGUAGCAGAGACAAAUGUGUAGUAUCUUGUCAGAACGAGUGUGUAUGCAAGUGUGUUUGUGUGUGCGUGUACAUGUGGCCAACUGAGCACGCUCCUGUCAUGUUCUGUUUCUGCCAAAGCGACAGUAAAGAUGGUAUCAGAUCAAUUUACCUUGAGUCAGGAAUAACAGGGCAUUGUCUGACUGUGCAAGCUGAGGUACUGUGUUGUCCUCGCAGUCGAGAGGAUAAGGACGAGAGGGAUGGAAAAAGGCAACACAGAAGCUACUGAGGGAUGUCUGUCAAAGGAAAGCGCUGACUGUGGUUUAACUGGGAGUUACGUAGCAAAAGGUCACUUUAAAAGAAUCUAAUGCUUCCAUUAAAGUGACACUAGAGUUAACAGGUUGUCUGGUGGACUGAAUACUGUGAUCCAAGAGAGCAACUUGACACUCACAGGAUGUCAUGUGUAAUGUUUUUGAAUAUUGAUACCAUG